This 376-nucleotide ribosomal RNA is filed under the name Microtomus cinctipes. Its description in RNAcentral is "eukaryotic LSU rRNA". It matches the Rfam family "Eukaryotic large subunit ribosomal RNA", at positions 653 to 980 of the family's 3401-position model. The record is from RNAcentral. Lineage: Eukaryota; Metazoa; Arthropoda; Insecta; Hemiptera; Reduviidae.
CUUGAAACACGGACCAAGGAGUUUGUCGUGUGCGCGAGUCAUUGGGUUAUUUUAUAAACCUCAAAGGCGAAAUGAAAGUGAAGGGAAGUCUUUUCUUUCUGAGGGAAGAUGGGCGUCCCGCCCACCGCCAGCCGGUGGCGGCGCCCCGCAUUCCCGGGGCGCCCCUUUCUCAUCGCGAGUAGGGGCGCACCCAGAGCGCACACGAUGAUACCCGAAAGAUGGUGAACUAUGCCUGGCCAGGACGAAGCCAGGGGAAACCCUGGUGGAGGUCCGCAGCGAUUCUGACGUGCAAAUCGAUCGUCGGAGCUGGGUAUAGGGGCGAAAGACCAAUCGAACCAUCUAGUAGCUGGUUCCCUCUGAAGUUUCCCUCAGGAUA